UAUUCUACAGACUGAAGCUAUAGAGGUAAAAAUCCAUGAUCCCUACUGCCCUUUAAGAGGUUACUAUUGGCGGGAGAGGGUAUAGCUACAGUGGUAGAGCACGUGCUUAGCAUGCACAAGGUCCUGGGUUCAAUCCCCAGUACAUCCUCU
Non-coding RNA from Vicugna pacos (alpaca), 150 nucleotides. The record is from RefSeq and is a predicted model, not a curated record. NCBI's taxonomy places the organism in Eukaryota, Metazoa, Chordata, Mammalia, Artiodactyla, Camelidae.